CAGUCGCCGCGGUAAUACAGAGGGUGCGAGCGUUAAUCGGAAUUACUGGGCGUAAAGCGCGCGUAGACGGUUUGGUAAGUCAGAUGUGAAAUCCCUGGGCUCAACCUGGGAACUGCAUUUGAUACUGCCUGGCUAGAGUAUCGAAGAGGGAAGUGGAAUUUCCGGUGUAGCGGUGAAAUGCGUAGAUAUCGGAAGGAACACCAGUGGCGAAAGCGACUUCCUGGUCGAAUACUGACGUUCAUGUGCGAAAGCGUGGGGAGCAAACAGGAUUAGAUACCCCCGUAGUCCCUGUCUCUUAUAC
This 301-nucleotide ribosomal RNA is filed under the name uncultured bacterium. RNAcentral describes it as "partial 16S ribosomal RNA". It matches the Rfam family "Bacterial small subunit ribosomal RNA", at positions 509 to 807 of the family's 1533-position model. The record is from RNAcentral.